GGACAAUUAGCUCAGUUGGUUUAGAGCGCUGCCUUCACACGGCAGAGGUCACUGGUUCAAAUCCAGUAUUGUCCA
This 75-nucleotide transfer RNA is filed under the name Fibrobacteraceae bacterium. RNAcentral describes it as "tRNA-Val". It matches the Rfam family "tRNA". Rfam says of the family: Transfer RNA (tRNA) molecules are approximately 80 nucleotides in length. Their secondary structure includes four short double-helical elements and three loops (D, anti-codon, and T loops). The record is from RNAcentral. Lineage: Bacteria; Pseudomonadati; Fibrobacterota; Fibrobacteria; Fibrobacterales; Fibrobacteraceae.